This 484-nucleotide ribosomal RNA is filed under the name uncultured bacterium. Its description in RNAcentral is "partial 16S ribosomal RNA". It matches the Rfam family "Bacterial small subunit ribosomal RNA", at positions 30 to 507 of the family's 1533-position model. The record is from RNAcentral.
AUUGAACGCUGGCGGCAGGCCUAACACAUGCAAGUCGAGCGGAUGAAGGGAACUUGCUCCUGGAUUCAGCGGCGGACGGGUGGGUGAUGCCUAGGUAUCUACCUUGUCGUUGGGGCUAACGUCCGGACACGGGCGCUGAUACCGCAUACGUCCUUAUGUUGAACCUGGUGGUUCUUCGGACCUCGACGUUCUAGCUGUGCCUAAGUGGGAUUAGCUAGUUGGUUGGGUUAAGGCCUACCAAGGCGACGAUCCGUAACUGGUCUGAGAGGAUGAUCUGUCACACUGGAACUGAGACACGGUCCAGACUCCUACGGGAGGCAGCAGUGGGGAAUAUUGGACAAUGGGCGAAAGCCUGAUCCAGCAAUGCCGCGUGUGUGAAGAAGGUCUUCGGAUUGUAAAGCACUGUAAGUUGGGAAGAAGGGAAGUAAGUUAAUACCUUGCUGUUUUGACGGUACCAAAAGAAUAAGCACCGGCUAACUUCGUG